AAGUCGUAACAAGGUUUCCGUAGGUGAACCUGCGGAAGGAUCAUUCAUAAUAAGUGUUUUACUGCACUUUUUAAACAAGUACUCACCUUGUGUGCAAUGUUUUUGGGCUUUUGUUUUUUUUAGGAUGAUCGUUUAUUCGGUCAACCAAAAAAAAACCUUGCUUAACAAAAUACCAACCUUUAUUUUAAUUUUUUUGUCUGAAGCUAUUUCGAAUAUCUAAUUCUAAAUACAA
Molecule: unclassified non-coding RNA, 232 nt
Filed under: plant metagenome
Description: partial contains small subunit ribosomal RNA and internal transcribed spacer 1
Rfam family: Eukaryotic small subunit ribosomal RNA (bases 1-46)
Source: RNAcentral